UGGGGAAUAUUGCACAAUGGGCGCAAGCCUGAUGCAGCAACGCCGCGUGAGGGACGACGGCCUUCGGGUUGUAAACCUCUUUUAGUAGGGAAGAAGCGAAAGUGACGGUACCUGCAGAAAAAGCACCGGCUAACUACGUGCCAGCAGCCGCGGUAAUACGUAGGGUGCGAGCGUUGUCCGGAAUUAUUGGGCGUAAAGAGCUCGUAGGCGGUCUGUCGCGUCUGCUGUGAAAACCCCGAGGCUCAACCUCGGGCCUGCAGUGGGUACGGGCAGACUAGAGUGCGGUAGGGGAGAAUGGAAUUCCUGGUGUAGCGGUGGAAUGCGCAGAUAUCAGGAGGAACACCGAUGGCGAAGGCAGUUCUCUGGGCCGUAACUGACGCUGAGGAGCGAAAGCGUGGGGAGCGAACAGGAUUAGAUACCCUGGUAGUCCACGCCGUAAACGUUGGGCGCUAGAUGUGGGGCACCAUUCCACGGUUUCCGUGUCGCAGCUAACGCAUUAA
RNAcentral lists this ribosomal RNA (500 nucleotides) under uncultured bacterium. RNAcentral describes it as "partial 16S ribosomal RNA". It matches the Rfam family "Bacterial small subunit ribosomal RNA", at positions 355 to 863 of the family's 1533-position model. The record is from RNAcentral.